GACGAACGCUGGCGGCGUGCCUAAUACAUGCAAGUAGAACGCUGAAGAGAGGAGCUUGCUCUUCUUGGAUGAGUUGCGAACGGGUGAGUAACGCGUAGGUAACCUGCCUUGUAGCGGGGGAUAACUAUUGGAAACGAUAGCUAAUACCGCAUAACAAUGGAUGACACAUGUCAUUUAUUUGAAAGGGGCAAUUGCUCCACUACAAGAUGGACCUGCGUUGUCUUAGCUAGUAGGUGAGGUAAUGGCUCACCUAGGCGACGAUACAUAGCCGGCCUGAGAGGGUGGUCGGCCACACUGGGACUGGGACACGGCCCAGGCUCCUACGGGAGGCAGCAGUAGGGAAUCUUCGGCAAUGGGGGCAACCCUGACCGGGCAACGCCGCGUGGGUGAAGAAGGGUUUCGGAUCGUAAAGCUCUGUUGUAAGUCAAGAACGGGUGUGAGAGUGGAAAGUUCACACUGUGACGGUAGCUGACCAGAAAGGGACGGCUAACUACGUG
Molecule: ribosomal RNA, 497 nt
Filed under: uncultured bacterium
Lineage: Bacteria
Description: partial 16S ribosomal RNA
Rfam family: Bacterial small subunit ribosomal RNA
Source: RNAcentral